This 322-nucleotide ribosomal RNA is filed under the name uncultured eukaryote. RNAcentral's name for it is "partial 18S ribosomal RNA". It matches the Rfam family "Eukaryotic small subunit ribosomal RNA", at positions 1470 to 1796 of the family's 1831-position model. The record is from RNAcentral.
CCCUUAGAUGUUCUGGGCCGCACGCGUGCUACACUGAGUGGAUCAGCGGGUCAGGUUGCGCGAAAGUGUUUCCUAAUCUUGAAAUCCGCUCGUGAUGGGGAUUGACGGUUGCAAUUUUCCGUCAUGAACGAGGAAUACCUUGUAAGCGCGGGUCAUCAUCCCGCGCUGAAUACGUCCAUGCCCUUUGUACACACCGCCCGUCGCUCCUACCGAUUGAGUGGUCCGGUGAGGCUUUGGGAUCUGAGCAAAGAGAGCGUUUCGCUCGUUUUGCCCGGAAAACUCAGUCGAACCUUAUCAUUUAGAGGAAGGAGAAGUCGUAACA